GACGAGCGCUGGCGGCGUGCUUAACACAUGCAAGUCGAGCGGUAAGGCCCUUUCGGGGUACGACGAGCGGCGAACGGGUAGGAGUAACAACGUGGGUGGACCUCGCCCUCCAGCUCUGGGAGUAAGACCCGGGAAACCGUAGGGUCGUAAUACCGGAUAUGACUUCAUGACGCAUGUUGUGGAGUGGAAAGACCUUGUGCGGCUGAGGAUGGGCCCGGCCGGCCUAUCAGCUUGUUGGUGGGGUGGAUGGCCUACCAAGGCGACGACGGGUAGCCGG
This 277-nucleotide ribosomal RNA is filed under the name uncultured bacterium. RNAcentral describes it as "partial 16S ribosomal RNA". It matches the Rfam family "Bacterial small subunit ribosomal RNA", at positions 28 to 290 of the family's 1533-position model. The record is from RNAcentral.